UACGGAGGGGGCUAGCGUUGUUCGGAAUUACUGGGCGUAAAGCGCGCGUAGGCGGAGAUCCAAGUCGGGGGUGAAAUCCCGGGGCUCAACCCCGGAACUGCCUCCGAUACUGGUUCUCUGGCGGACGGGAGAGGCGAGUGGAAUGCCGAGUGUAGAGGUGAAAUUCGUAGAUAUUCGGCGGAACACCCGUGGCGAAGGCGGCUCGCUGGUCCGUUUCUGACGAUGAGGCGCGAAAGCGUGGGGAGCAAACAGG
RNAcentral lists this ribosomal RNA (253 nucleotides) under uncultured bacterium. RNAcentral describes it as "partial 16S ribosomal RNA". It matches the Rfam family "Bacterial small subunit ribosomal RNA", at positions 524 to 776 of the family's 1533-position model. The record is from RNAcentral.